Vicia faba (fava bean) is the source of this 303-nucleotide non-coding RNA. The record is from the annotation of a GenBank genome assembly. Lineage: Eukaryota; Viridiplantae; Streptophyta; Magnoliopsida; Fabales; Fabaceae.
AUGUUGAAGAUAUUAGCCAUAGAUUUGUUGACUCUAGUAAUGCAAGAUGUUGAUUUGGGUUGUUACAGGAGUUUUAAGGAGGGUCAUGAACUUCACACAUCUCAUUGUUCUAGUUGGUGCACUGAGGUUCUAGGAUAUGGAGGUUCAAGGUUGGUAAACCUCAAUAAUAUAUGCCCUGUUACAUGUAAAUGCUCUAGUCAAAGUCAUCCAGUUCUCCUAGUUUGGGAUCUUCUUUGGAGAUGGUGCUACUUAGUGGGGUUGGGUAUAAUGAGUUUAGCUCUAUGUUGUACAAUUUUGAUAUAG